This 200-nucleotide ribosomal RNA is filed under the name uncultured bacterium. RNAcentral describes it as "partial 16S ribosomal RNA". It matches the Rfam family "Bacterial small subunit ribosomal RNA", at positions 8 to 218 of the family's 1533-position model. The record is from RNAcentral.
AGAGUUUGAUCCUGGCUCAGAUUGAACGCUAGCGGCAUGCUUAACACAUGCAAGUCGAACGGUAGCAGGUCUGGGUAACCAGAUGCUGACGAGUGGCGGACGGGUGAGUAACGCGUAGGAAUCUACCUUAUAGUGGGGAAUAACCUGGGGAAACCCAGGCUAAUACCGCAUAAUCCCUAAGGGGGAAAGUCUGGGACUGU